Molecule: microRNA, 26 nt
Filed under: Oryctolagus cuniculus (rabbit)
Lineage: Eukaryota; Metazoa; Chordata; Mammalia; Lagomorpha; Leporidae
Also listed under: 1 other name
Description: ocu-miR-1249-5p
Source: miRBase by way of RNAcentral
AGGAGGGAGGAGAUGGGCCAAGUUCC